RNAcentral lists this ribosomal RNA (460 nucleotides) under uncultured bacterium. RNAcentral describes it as "partial 16S ribosomal RNA". It matches the Rfam family "Bacterial small subunit ribosomal RNA", at positions 338 to 795 of the family's 1533-position model. The record is from RNAcentral.
CCUACGGGGGGCAGCAGUGAGGAAUAUUGGUCAAUGGACGAGAGUCUGAACCAGCCAAGUCGCGUGAAGGAUGACUGCCCUCUGGGCUGUAAACUUCUUUUAUAAAGGAAUAAAACGAGGCACGUGUGCCUUUUUGCAUGUACUUUAUGAAUACAGAUCGGCUAAAUCCGUGCCAGCAGCCGCGGUAAUACGGAGGAUCCGAGCGUUAUCCGGAUUUAUUGGGUUUAAAGGGAGCGUAGAUGGGUUGUUAAGUCAGUUGUGAAAGUUUGCGGCUCAACCGUAAAAUUGCAAUUGAUACUGGCAGUCUUGAGUACAGAUGAGGUAAGCGGAAUUCGUGGUGUAGCGGUGAAAUGCUUAGAUAUCACGAAGAACCCCGAUUGCGAAGGCAGCUUACUAAACUGUGACUGACAUUGAGGCUCGAAAGUGUGGGUAGCAAACAGGAUUAGAUACCCCUGUAGUC